GUGCACAAUCCCGCCACUGUUCAUGAUUUUCAACAUCGUCGGUGAAUGUCCGAGCAGGAAGCUGUGGACGGAAAAAAACAAAAGUGUGAAAAAGAACAACAACAAAACGAAAACAGAGACGCAUCAGCCAUGUGAGGGAGCCAGCUUACCUUGUGGCCCACAGUCUUGUGCCUGGUCGGGAAGCCUGUCCCCAAACUGAGCAAGGACCAAAUGACGAGCAGCAUCUGAACCCUCCACGCCGCCUCCUGACGCAUCUUCUCGCUUGAGUUACUGGACGACAACUUACUGUGUUCAGCAUCUCUCUGGUAUGGGCGGCCGAAACGCAGAAACGCGCCCUGGACUCGAUGAUGGGUGUUGCUGGGAAGCCGACGACCACUGUGCCGAUGUUUCUCUUUAACAUC
Molecule: long non-coding RNA, 401 nt
Organism: Acanthopagrus latus (yellowfin seabream)
Lineage: Eukaryota; Metazoa; Chordata; Actinopteri; Spariformes; Sparidae
Exons: 3
Source: RefSeq, a predicted model, not a curated record